CUUGUGAGAGUAUCCUUCUAUGAGACUCGAUUGUUUUAUGUUGUUUGCCAAUAGCUUUAGUACUCGUUUGAUGUGAUAACUCAAUCGAGAUCUGUGUUGCCCGCAGAAAGGGACGGAGAUGGCAUGGAUCGUCUUCUCAUAUCCGGCGACUGGAACAGUGCGAAUAUUGCAUCUUUCUCACUCGGGCGGUCACCAACCAGCAUCCGUUUAUCAUCAUCGCCUGGGAAGCACCAGAAGGCAGCAGACGGAGAUGUCUUCAGCACAAUUAGGACAAGAGAAACGGAAUCCACUGUAAAAGUAGGACGAAGGGCAUGAACAGAAGAAAAAGAGUGCGUCUUUCCACGGAUCUUUUCCUCUCUUCUUGGAAGUAAUGAUAUAUCAAUGGGAAUCUUGCUUCUUUGGGCAUUGAUUAUUAACCAUAUAGAUAUUGUUUCUCCACUUUCUUUGGUUUUCUUUCUGGACCUGUCACUGUUGUUUUCCUAUGUGUAAAAGUAAAACACUCCUUUGUCGUCUCUCUCUCUCUCUCUCUCUCUCUCUCUCUCUGUCUAUCUGUCAUCUAUGAAGGAAUGAUAGGAUAGCACUUUGAAUUAUCCUGUCAGUGUGCUAUCUGCGCGCAUGUAAAGGAUGGAAUCUUUAUCUGUUGGGAAACUUUAUGCUACAAUGUCCUGCUGAUUCCUAUUGUCACAAUGAGAUGACAAAGUGUUUCCUGCAGAAAUAUGCCUCUAUCGGGAAAUGGUAAGGAUAAAGAAAACCUAAAUGCAAGUCUUCUUCAUCAUCACUUGGAG
RNAcentral lists this long non-coding RNA (785 nucleotides) under Musa acuminata (dwarf banana). RNAcentral describes it as "long non-coding RNA (MACU_LNC002485)". Lineage: Eukaryota; Viridiplantae; Streptophyta; Magnoliopsida; Zingiberales; Musaceae. The record is from RNAcentral.